Bombina bombina (fire-bellied toad) is the source of this 1908-nucleotide long non-coding RNA. RefSeq lists it as uncharacterized. NCBI's taxonomy places the organism in Eukaryota, Metazoa, Chordata, Amphibia, Anura, Bombinatoridae. The transcript is spliced from 2 exons. The record is from RefSeq and is a predicted model, not a curated record.
CUUGUAUUGAGACAGACAAACAGAGUGGGUUUUUCCUCCACUAUCAUAUAAAGCAAUGAUCCUACCCUCACUCAAAUGGUAACACUCAGAAGGAUAGUCCAGUACUGUAAACAGAAAGCAACGUCCAGACACGAGUGUAGAAACAGAAAUCGUAGAAAUAGACAUCAUAGACAUCAUAGGAGCAAUCAGCCUAAUGUUCCUAAUAGGAGGGCAGAGGAAAGACAGAUACAACUUCUGAGACCUGAGGAACCAAACCAACAUAACGGUGAUAACAACACACCAGAGCCAUACUCCAUCUGCCUUUUGGAAUAUAAGGACCAGGACUUCCUGACCACUCUCCCCUGCCACCAUAUUUUUCAUUCUGCGUGCAUUAGUAGGUGGUAGCAGGAAAACACCCAAUGCCCAUUCUGUAGAGCAGAGAUGUAUGACAAUGAGGAUGAUUACAUAGAAGAACUAGAAAUAGAGGUUCCAUGGGGAGUAAAUGCUACCAUAGAAAUAUAUGUUCAAUGGGAAGUAGAUGUAAUCAGAAUAAUUACCAGGUCCCAUUGAUUUUUGGAUAUAGAGGACUAUACCACUGAAUGUCCUAUGUUCCACCAUUAUAGAGGACUAUACUACCAAAUAUCCUAUUUACCACCAUUAUAGAGGACUAUACCACCAAAUAUCCUAUUUAACACCAUUAUAGAGGACUAUAACACCAAAUGUCAUAAUAUUACACCUUUAUAGGGGACUAUACCAUCAAAUGUCCUAUUUACCACCUUUAUAGGGGACUAUACCAUCAAAUGUCCUAUUUACCACCUUUAUAGGGGACUAUACCAUCAAAUGUCAUAUUUACCACCUUUAUUAUUUUAUAAACAUCACAAUGAGAUAAACAUCUUCAUCUCCAGUCACCAUAUUUGUCUGUUUUCCUCCACCAAUUUCUUUAGAAGACAAUUUGCUCCUGAGCAGAUAUAUCCUGAGCUGCUCUUAGUCUGUUUAGCAGAUGAGCACUUGGCAGUUGGCACACAUUUCCAAAUGAACAAAAAAUACAUAAUCUCUUCUAUGAAAAUGUGUCAGUCAACAACAAAUCCAGUUUAAUGGAUAUGAAAAGGGGGAAUGGAUAAGAAAUGGGGGGAAUGGAUAGGAAAUUGGAGGGAAUGGAUAUGAAAUAGUGGAAUGGAUUUGAAAUGAGGGGGAAUUCAUAUGAAGUGGGGGAAUGGAUAUGAAACUUUGGUUUCUAUAACAGUAGCUCCAAAUUUAGCACCUUGCCUCCAUAUUGCUCCAGUUUUAGUUUGAUACAUUUGGCCCAUUUUGGAUAUGUAUUAAGAGAACUACUGGUGCAAAACACUGAACUGAUAAACACUGCAUGUGCUUGGGAUAUUAACAUUCAUUCAGGCCCAUUUAUCAAGCUCCGUACAGAGCUUGAAGGGCCGUGUUGCUGGCGAGUCUUCAGACUCGCCAGAAACACAACUUAUGAAGCAGCGGUCACAAAGACCACUGCUCCAUAACCCUGUCCGCCUGCUCUGAGCAGGCGGACCGGAAUCGCCGGAAAUCAACCCGAUCGAAUACGAUCGGGUUGAUUGACACCUCCCUGCUGGCGGCUGAUUGGCCGCGAGUCAGCAGGGGGCGGCAUUGCACCAGCAGCUCUUGUGAGCUGCUGGUGCAAUGUUAAAUGCGGAGAGCGUAUUGCUCUCCACAUUUAGCGAGGUCUUGCGGACCUGAUCCGCAGUGUCGGAUCAGGUCCGCAAGCCCUUUGAUAAAUUGGCCUGAUAGUCUUAUAACAGUUAGCGAUUCAUAUUUCAUUAUAUAUGUUCGAAGGUAUCCUAUGUGAUGUUACUAUGCAAUAUUUUACUGUUCUGAAUUGUUAAUUUAUAUUGUUAUUGUUGAACCAGAAUUCUUUGGUAAGAAUAAAAUACAAACUAUGCAUUGGAA